GACGAACCGUGCGAACGUUAUUCGGAAUCACUGGGCUUAAAGGGUGCGUAGGCGGGCCGGAAAGUCAGGGGUGAAAUCCUCCAGCUCAACUGGAGAAGCGCCUUUGUUACUGCCGGCCUCGAGGGGUGCAGGGGCAUGCGGAACUCAGGGUGGAGCGGUGAAAUGCGUAGAUAUCCUGAGGAACACCGGUGGCGAAAGCGGCGUGCUGGACACCUUCUGACGCUGAGGCACGAAAGCCAGGGGAGCGAACGGG
RNAcentral lists this ribosomal RNA (253 nucleotides) under uncultured bacterium. Its description in RNAcentral is "partial 16S ribosomal RNA". It matches the Rfam family "Bacterial small subunit ribosomal RNA", at positions 524 to 776 of the family's 1533-position model. The record is from RNAcentral.